Molecule: long non-coding RNA, 1213 nt
Filed under: Salmo salar (Atlantic salmon)
Lineage: Eukaryota; Metazoa; Chordata; Actinopteri; Salmoniformes; Salmonidae
Description: lncRNA (ENSSSAG00000120295.1)
Source: RNAcentral
GCCAGAUGCGUGAAGCCAGCACAGACUUCACCAGACUGCACCUGCGCUCUUCAGCGCGCCUGCGCUGCAGCAUACUCCUCGCCAAAACCUCUCUCCGGUAUCCCUCGUUGAGCUCCAGAGUUUGCCAUUCGGGCUCUGGCACUCCCCGCUGCUCCGCCGACCGCUCCAUGUGCCCCCCCCAAAAACAAUCUUGGGGUUUCUGUGGCCUCGGUCCCCGGCGCCGUCGCUGUCCCCCUAUGCUCCUUGGCGACUCCCGCCAAGGAAGGGUCUCGUGUCCUCUCAUGUCCUCCCAAGUUCAAAACUCCUUUAUCUCAUUUACGCUGCUUGGUCCUGCGUGGGUGGGAUAUUCUGUCAUGUGUCUGUGUGCAGCGGGUAGGACGGAGUCAGGCGCAGGACACAGAACUGAGUAAAAACGUACAGGGAAUUACAAUCCAGCUCUACACAAAAGAGCGAACACUUAACCUAGAACAUGAAGUUGUAGUGCCCACACACACUAACUCAAACAAACAAUAUCCCACAAACACAGGUGGGAAAAACGGCUACCUAAAUAUGAUCCCCAAUUAGAGGCAACGAUUACCAGCUGCCUCUAAUUGGGAACCAUACAAAACACCAACAUAGAAAUAUAAACAUAGAAAUAUAAACUAGAACACCCCCUAGUCACACCCUGACCUACCUUGGUUCUCUAUGGUCAGGGCGUGACACCUCUGUACGCCUAUGUAGAUAUUCCAUUAACAAUCUGCCGUUUCCAGCUACAAUAGUCAUUUACAACAUUAACAAUGUCUACACUGUAUUUCUGAUAAAUUUUAUGAUAUUUUAUUAGACAUAAAAAGUGCUUUUCUUUCAAUACAAGGACAUUUCUAAGUGACCCCAAACUUUUGAACGGAAGUGUAUAUGGUAUGAAUUUAACUUAAUUUUUAAAGUGUGUGUGUUUAUGCCUGGAUGCUGUUUUAGUGUUUGCCUCAACCAUCCCUUCCACUGUGUUGCAACCAACUUUUUAAAACUACAGAAUGUGUGUGUUGCUACAGAAAAUGUAUGCGUGACAGCAUUUGAAUUGGUUUGCAAAGAUAAAGCACACAGGCUUGGCAUGUGAUGCUGAAGAACGUCCACCAGCUGAGAACACCUUGCACAUUGUCUUUGUAUUCUUACCAGUGAUACAAUAUAUUUAAUGUAUUUGUAUUUCUAUGUAGGACAUUUAUGACAUUUUGUAAAAAUC